UCUCGAUCUCCUGACCUCGUGAUCCGCCCGCCUCGGCCUCCCAAAGUGCUGGGAUUACAGGCGUGAGCCACCGCGCCUGGCCUCCUUUUCUCCUGUUAACCAACCUUUAAGGGAUCAAUGGCCAUGGUUCCCAUAGAGUCUCAAGGUACAUUCAUACUGAGGCAAAUUGUUCUCUAGCUAUAAGCCUGAGACAUCAAACAAGUUAUAUGAUUUCAAAAUACAGUCACGGGGGAGACAAAGGACAGACAUUCCCAUUCCAAAAAGGGGAAAUAGGAAAGAAGAAGUGACAGGUCCUGAGCAAGUCAAAGAUAUUAAGGCUCAAGAAGAAUAACUCAAAGCAACUUUUUCCAGAGAUUAUCUCUCCUUAGAGAGAAGAUUCACUUUUUAAACAGGAAAAGAAAUAUUUCAACAAUUAUUAAUGUGAUUUUUUUCUUAGCUUUUAUGAGUACAUGAUUUUUACCCCAGUUGGCCGAUACUACUUAUAUCUCUGGGCUUCUGGGAAGAAGAAAGAAAAUUAGGAAUCAUAAUAUUCAGACUCUUACACUCAAAAAUUUAAUUUUACAGCAAGAAAAUUAUGUUAAAUCUGGCUACUUUCUUGAGAAAAGACUCUAAAUUCUAUUUUCAAUUUUCUUCUUUAAGUGUAUUAACAGUCAGUCUGGAGUAUACACAAGGAAAGCUAAGUGGAAAGAAGAAAAAGGAGAAAGCUAGACUCUUCCUUGCCCCUAGGUAUUGGAAGAAGAAAGGAAAGAGGGAGAAGAGUAAAAAAUCCAGGUAAAUGCCUCACCUAGAGAGGAAAUGCUGACUUAGAUCAUGUGAAUGGAGAAUUAAGAAAUUUACUACUAUAGGGACAGGAAGGGGGUGAUCACUUUCCUCCCAUGGCAAAGGAUCACAUUUAGCACCCUUAUAACAAAAGAUAGGUUAAAAAAAAAGGAAAGCAUAACAAAGUAAUUACAUGCAAAUAUGUGCACUGGAGUCACACAAAAUAUAAAAACUAAAAGAAAGGGCCAGCCAGUGACUCAGGAGGCUGAGGCAGAAGGAUUGCUUGAGGUCAGGAGUUGGAGACCAGCCUGGGCAAAAUAACGAGACCUUGUCUCAAAGAAGAAGAAAAACAAGAAGAAGAAAGAAGAAAGAAGAGAGAAGAGAGAAGGAAGAAGGAAGAAGAUAGAAGAUAGAAGAGAGAAGACGGAAGAGGGAAGAAGAAAGAAGAAAGAAGAAAGAAAGAGAAGGAGAAGAAGGAAGAAAAGGAAAAGAAAAGAAAGAGGCCAGAUGAGAGACAGAGUCUCACUCUUCACUCGGGCUGCAGUGCAGUGGAGCAAUAGUUGCUCACUGUAACCUCAAACUCCUGGGCCUAAGCAAUCCUCUGGCCUCAGCUUCCUGAAUGACUAGGACCACAGAUCUUCAGACGGAAACUACCAAGAGUCAACUGAGGGAAGAUAGAACCUUGGCUGAAGAGGGAGAAAGCUGGAAAUCCUGCUCGGGGCUACCACACACCAAGACUCAUUCCUAACUCACGAUGGCUCCAGGGAAACCGCUUGUGAGAAAGGUGCCUGCUUCCCGUUUCACCACAACUGUAAGUUUCC
This 1580-nucleotide long non-coding RNA is filed under the name Homo sapiens (human). RNAcentral's name for it is "HSALNT0038401". Lineage: Eukaryota; Metazoa; Chordata; Mammalia; Primates; Hominidae. The record is from RNAcentral.